Molecule: unclassified non-coding RNA, 465 nt
Filed under: uncultured Mortierella
Lineage: Eukaryota; Fungi; Mortierellomycota; Mortierellomycetes; Mortierellales; Mortierellaceae
Description: sequence contains ITS2
Rfam family: 5.8S ribosomal RNA (bases 1-154)
Source: RNAcentral
AACUUUUAGCAACGGAUCACUUGGCUCUCGCAUCGAUGAAGAACGCAGCGAAAUGCGAUACGUAAUGUGAAUUGCAGACUUCAGUGAAUCAUCGAAUCUUUGAACGCAUAUUGCGCCCUCUGGUAUUCCGGAGGGCAUGCUUGUUGGAGUAUCAGUAACAACCUCAGCCCCAUUCUCUUCACUUCGAGGUGUUAUGGGUUGGAUUUGAGCAAAUCCACCCUACUUUAGGGGCGGAUGCUUGAAAUAGAGUUUCGGCCAGACGGUUAAUUCCCUGGGCUACAAGCAUUUCAUACUUAAUCCCGUUAAACGGAUUAUUUCCUUUGCUGCAGCCAACUAACAGGUAAUCGUCAGGUCUGACUGAUGCAGGCAAGUUGAGACGGAUUUCGGUCCGCGCUCUCUUCUAAACUCGAUCUCAAAUCAAGUAAGACUACCCGCUGAACUUAAGCAUAUCAAUAAGCGGAGGUU